UGCACCUUUGGCCUCUUGCUAGCUUCGGUUGGCAGAGGAUUUUACACACCAACUCGAAUGUAAUGAAAACUAUUGUUGUGCGCAAGCACUAUAAUGUACAACUUUCAACAACGGAUCUCUUGGCUCUCGCAUCGAUGAAGAACGCAGCGAAAUGCGAUAAGUAAUGUGAAUUGCAGAAUUCAGUGAAUCAUCGAAUCUUUGAACGCACCUUGCACCCUUUGGUAUUCCGAAGGGUAUGCUCGUUUGAGUGUCAUUGUACUCUCACACUCUCUGAUCUUUGGAUUGGGAGCGGUGGACUUGGGUGUUGCUGCUGCGUGGUGGCUCACCUCAAAUGCAUUAGUGCAACUCCUGAUUGGACAUAGUACGGCGUGAUAAGUGUCUUCGCCGGCGCCUCGCAAGAGGGUGGCUGAUUGGGAGCUCUGUGCUUCAUAAACCGUCUUCGGACAAUUCUGACAACUUGACCUCAAAUCGAGUAGGACUACCCGCUGAACUUAAG
This 496-nucleotide ribosomal RNA is filed under the name uncultured fungus. RNAcentral describes it as "eukaryotic LSU rRNA". The stretch from base 100 to 253 matches the Rfam family "5.8S ribosomal RNA". Lineage: Eukaryota; Fungi. The record is from RNAcentral.